This 265-nucleotide ribosomal RNA is filed under the name uncultured bacterium. RNAcentral describes it as "partial 16S ribosomal RNA". It matches the Rfam family "Bacterial small subunit ribosomal RNA", at positions 793 to 1055 of the family's 1533-position model. The record is from RNAcentral.
GUCCUUGCCCUAAACUAUGUAUACUUGGUGUUGUUGGGCUCAACCCUGACAGUACCGUAGCUAACGCGAUAAGUAUACCGCCUGGGGAGUACGCUCGCAAGGGUAAAACUCAAAAGAAUUGACGGGGACCCGCACAAGCAGUGGAGCAUGUGGUUUAAUUCGAUGCAACGCGAAGAACCUUACCUGGGCUUGACAUAUACAUGACCGUUACAGAGAUGUAACUUUCUCGCAAGAGACAUGUAAACAGGUGCUGCAUGGCUGUCGU